This 532-nucleotide ribosomal RNA is filed under the name uncultured bacterium. RNAcentral describes it as "bacterial SSU rRNA". It matches the Rfam family "Bacterial small subunit ribosomal RNA", at positions 8 to 526 of the family's 1533-position model. The record is from RNAcentral.
AGAGUUUGAUCAUGGCUCAGGACGAACGCUGGCGGCGUGCCUAACACAUGCAAGUUGAGCGACGAACCAGGGCUUGCCCUGGGGCAAAGCAGCGAACGGGUGAGUAACACGUGGGUAACCUGCCCCGAUAACCGGGACAACCCGAGGAAACUCGGGCUAAUACCGGAUGUGCUCGCCGGACAUAAGUCCGGCGCGUAAAGGUAGCUUUGGCUUCCGUAUCGGGAGGGGCCCGCGGCCCAUUAGCUAGUUGGUGAGGUAACGGCUCACCAAGGCCGCGAUGGGUAGCUGGUCUGAGAGGACGAUCAGCCACACUGGGACUGAGACACGGCCCAGACUCCUACGGGAGGCAGCAGUGGGGAAUCUUGCGCAAUGCGCGAAAGCGUGACGCAGCAACGCCGCGUGGGGGAAGAAGGCCUUCGGGUUGUAAACCCCUUUCAGGAGGGACGAAGGUUCGGCGGUGAAUAGCCGUCCGGACUGACGGUACCUCCACAAGAGGCCCCGGCUAACUACGUGCCAGCAGCGGCGGUAAUAC